GGCUUUGCACCUCUAUACCUAAUAUUCUUUAUCGUUAGAGUCUCGCUGUAACAUUCUCGAAGUCGCCAGCAAAGAGCUUACCACAGGUUCAUACGACAGCCAUAGCAUCUCUGUCAGCAUCAAUGGCGUCUCGAGUGAUUUGAUUACUGAAAUCGAGUUGCAGAAACUCUUUGUUUGUCUCCAAUCACGUCUUAUAGCCUUCUCUUCUAAUAAACUGAAACAUUCCGAGUUACUCAUCGCAUUUAUCACCUUAUUAACUCCAUAGCCGACGUAAACCACGAUCUGACCUUAAUUGUGAGUUAUCCUUCUGAAAAGGGGUUUAUUCUACACCUAUAAAAGCUGGCCGAUGCUCCUCCACUGUCCAAGUGCUGUUACUCAGGUUCUGGAUAGCCAGAAAUGUCCGAGAGGAGGAGAAUUGAUGUCUCUUGAUAUGUUCUUACUGGAUUCAUAGGUGACCCUUAUGCAAGCAACCGUGAAUGUGAGCCGGCUAGCAACUUACAGGCCUUAUCUCCAGGCCGGUUCAAUGUAUUCUGUCACCGGUUUUGAUGUAACUCGGUGUAAUCAAAACUUCAGGCUCUCGAACUCCUCUCUGCUGAUUCGAUUCAGUGACGCUACCGCUCUUGCUGAGUUAACUGAACCAGCUUUUCCAAUACCUAAAGAAUGUUUCAGGUUCCGUAAUCACAGAGGGAUACUUAGUCUAGCCAACAGCAAUACCCAACUUCCAGGUAUUCCUCCUAUAAUAUGUUCAUAGGUAUAGCUGGAUAAGAUAUUAAUAAUAAUCCUGAGCCAGAUGUUAUUGGUGAGAUAAUUGCUGUUAAGAGAAAGUUCUAUUUCGCUUGAAUGGCUAACCUAUCUAUCUUAAUCGCUGGAGGCUGGCUGGAGAUGGGUUAGAUUCACCGGAGAUGGGUUCUUCUUCUGUUUUGGAGAGUAGAAUCUGAGGAUUCAAAAGUGUUAAAGCUUUGGAGACUGGAGUAAGCAAGCAACUCCAUCGGCUUGAGAGGCAUGGGCCGGUAAACAAGCAAGGCAGCUACGUUUGAUCUUCUUAAAAAUGUCAAUGGGAUCUCUGAUUUUCUACACAUAAAUAUCGGAUCCUUCAAUGCUUAUGAGUGCUUUAAGAAAAAAAAAUAUUUAGUACACAGCAAGGCAACUACAUUUUCUCUUCUUAAAAAUGUCCAUGGGAUCUCUGAUUUUCUACACAUAUAUAUCGGAUCCUUCAGUGCUUAUGAGUGCUUUUAUUUUUUUUUUAAAACUUUUGUACACUGCUGCCAGGCAAACUACGUUUGCUCUUCUUAAAAGUGUGAAUGUGAUUUCAGUUUUUCUACUCUCA
Molecule: long non-coding RNA, 1327 nt
Organism: Raphanus sativus (radish)
Lineage: Eukaryota; Viridiplantae; Streptophyta; Magnoliopsida; Brassicales; Brassicaceae
Exons: 4
Source: RefSeq, a predicted model, not a curated record